GAGUCUCAGAACAAUACCACGUGAGAUGUUCUGUCUGCCUGCUUGUCUGUCUAUCUGAUUUAGAAGGCAAAGUCACCAAAAGCCUUGGCAACUAGCUCCGCAUCUCUGCAGGCUUAAGUGGCAGAGUGUGGGGUGCAUAUGGUCUUUACCCCGAAGAGUAGACUCCACUUUGAAGACCGAUCCUCUUGAGACCAGCAUCUCUGCUCUUACACGUCCUUCUUGUGAGGUUGUUGAGGAACCCACAAUCAAAGAAGUUGAAGGUAAAUCCCUAUUGUUGAAGAUGCCAUGCACUUCAGGCACAGCACUCAAGAGACCAAGCUAUAUGUAACCUUGAAGACCAGCUUUCAUAUUACCUGCAGGAACUAUACAAGCUGCCAAGGAAGGGAAGCCAUUAAUAGUCCUACCUAGCUAUGGCACCAACGAACCACAACAAUAACCAGCAUGGCAUGAUAACCCUAAGGGCGCAGUAGUGGCACACAUAUCCUGGUGGUAACCAACAGCUCUCUAAUUGGACUUAAGAACUGCUCAAAGGGCCAGGGGAGAUUAUGCAUGGUACUGAGAACUUAGCCAACUACUCACUCGGGGCUAGUAAGAUCAUGGUUGCUGAAGGAGAAACUACAACUGCUACUUUACUAAACCAACAUGAUUCCUGACUGCAUUCUAAAUAUUUAAUUCUUAUACUCACCCCUCAUACAAAGAAACU
This 703-nucleotide long non-coding RNA is filed under the name Mus musculus (house mouse). RNAcentral's name for it is "predicted gene 5820". The record is from RNAcentral. Lineage: Eukaryota; Metazoa; Chordata; Mammalia; Rodentia; Muridae.